This is a long non-coding RNA of Hibiscus syriacus, 292 nucleotides long. RefSeq lists it as uncharacterized. The transcript is spliced from 3 exons. The record is from RefSeq and is a predicted model, not a curated record. NCBI's taxonomy places the organism in Eukaryota, Viridiplantae, Streptophyta, Magnoliopsida, Malvales, Malvaceae.
UUUUCUCACUGAUACUCGUUCGUUAUCUUCCACUCUCUUCGAUCAUCAUUUCAUAAUCCGAAGCGAAGAGGCAAAGAUCGAUGGCUUCUGCUGCAAAAGCAAUUAGUAGUCCUGUGCCAAUUGAAUGGUACCCAACCCUAGCCGUCGUAAUGCUCUCCAUUGGUCUUGUUGUCACCGCUUCCUUCUUCAUCUACGAAGCAACUUGUACGAAGCGAAACCGAUGUGUCGUCAAGGAGCUAAUCACUGGAGGAGUGGCAUCAUUGUUCCUGGUAUAACUUAUUGUAAUUGCUAU